AACGAACGCUGGCGGCAGGCUUAACACAUGCAAGUCGAACGCCCCGCAAGGGGAGUGGCGCACGGGUGAGUAACACGUGGGAACGUACCCCUGAAGUCAGGAAUAACGUCGGGAAACUGACGCUAAUACCUGAUAUACUCUACGGAGGAAAGAUUUAUCGCUUCAGGAGCGGCCCGCGCAAGAUUAGCUAGUUGGUGGGGUAACGGCUCACCAAGGCGACGAUCGGUAGGGGGUGUGAGAGCAUGACCCCCCACACGGGUACUGAGACACGGACCCGACUCCUACGGGAGGCAGCAGUAAGGAAUAUUGGACAAUGGAGGGAACUCUGAUCCAGCCAUGCCGCGUGAAGGAUGAAGGCGCUCAGCGUUGUAAACUUCUUUUGGAUGGGAACAAUAACUUCUACGUGUAGGAGCUUGAGGGUACCAUCAGAAUAAGCACCGGCUAACUCCGUG
This 452-nucleotide ribosomal RNA is filed under the name uncultured bacterium. RNAcentral's name for it is "bacterial SSU rRNA". It matches the Rfam family "Bacterial small subunit ribosomal RNA", at positions 29 to 507 of the family's 1533-position model. The record is from RNAcentral.